UCCCAAAAGAGCAUCCCUAUUCAUCGCACAUCUCUCGUUUUGCAAUGUUCCCAUCCUUCCACUCACCAGAUGACCCACAUACAGGAGUCAGAGCUGCGUCUCAAUCUUUCCUCAACCUCAGUAUCCCAAAUAGUGCACCUGAUAUCACUCUGCUAAGCAAAACUAAAGGUGCUCCAUAUAGACUUGAGAGCUUAGAAACACCACUGAAAACAAGGAAGAAGGCUGUUAUGUGGACAGGAGAACAUGGCUUUUUUGACCAUGCAAAACCAGCGAAGGGAGAGAGCCAGGUUUUCUACCCCACUCCCCCAAAGAUGCUGCUGCC
Long non-coding RNA from Pundamilia nyererei, 322 nucleotides. RefSeq lists it as uncharacterized. The transcript has 3 exons. The record is from RefSeq and is a predicted model, not a curated record. Lineage: Eukaryota; Metazoa; Chordata; Actinopteri; Cichliformes; Cichlidae.